CUCCGUCAGUCCUAGCUGAGAAGCUUAUUACACAUGCGGCUCCUGGGCCCAGCCCUUGAUGCAGUCUGCUUCACAAGUCCGGGAGUUCCCACAGGCCCAUCUGGCCAUUCCAGCCAUCUUCUGCAUCUCCACUCUAGCAGGAAAACAAGAACACGCACAUGGCAGCCUAAGGACCUGAACUGGCUGGAAAGGCCUGUUCAUGGAGUCACGGUCAAGAUUAAGAGAAAAGUGAGGAUUGGGCGUUCACACCAAGAGCUCAAGGAA
Lepus europaeus (European hare) is the source of this 264-nucleotide long non-coding RNA. RefSeq lists it as uncharacterized. Lineage: Eukaryota; Metazoa; Chordata; Mammalia; Lagomorpha; Leporidae. The transcript has 3 exons. The record is from RefSeq and is a predicted model, not a curated record.